RNAcentral lists this non-coding RNA (24 nucleotides) under Arabidopsis thaliana (thale cress). Lineage: Eukaryota; Viridiplantae; Streptophyta; Magnoliopsida; Brassicales; Brassicaceae. The record is from RNAcentral.
GUUAAUGAUUGAUAACGGCAUGUC